RNAcentral lists this ribosomal RNA (497 nucleotides) under Bacillus cereus. RNAcentral's name for it is "bacterial SSU rRNA". It matches the Rfam family "Bacterial small subunit ribosomal RNA", at positions 27 to 504 of the family's 1533-position model. RNAcentral also lists the same sequence under 2 other names. The record is from RNAcentral. Lineage: Bacteria; Bacillati; Bacillota; Bacilli; Caryophanales; Bacillaceae.
GGAUGAACGCUGGCGGCGUGCCUAAUACAUGCAAGUCGAGCGAAUGGAUUAAGAGCUUGCUCUUAUGAAGUUAGCGGCGGACGGGUGAGUAACACGUGGGUAACCUGCCCAUAAGACUGGGAUAACUCCGGGAAACCGGGGCUAAUACCGGAUAACAUUUUGAACCGCAUGGUUCGAAAUUGAAAGGCGGCUUCGGCUGUCACUUAUGGAUGGACCCGCGUCGCAUUAGCUAGUUGGUGAGGUAACGGCUCACCAAGGCAACGAUGCGUAGCCGACCUGAGAGGGUGAUCGGCCACACUGGGACUGAGACACGGCCCAGACUCCUACGGGAGGCAGCAGUAGGGAAUCUUCCGCAAUGGACGAAAGUCUGACGGAGCAACGCCGCGUGAGUGAUGAAGGCUUUCGGGUCGUAAAACUCUGUUGUUAGGGAAGAACAAGUGCUAGUUGAAUAAGCUGGCACCUUGACGGUACCUAACCAGAAAGCCACGGCUAACUAC